GACGAAUGCUGGCGGCGUGCUUAACACAUGCAAGUCGAACGGUAAGGCCCUUCGGGGUACACGAGUGGCGAACGGGUGAGUAACACGUGGGUGAUCUGCCCUGCACUUCGGGAUAAGCCUGGGAAACUGGGUCUAAUACCGGAUAGGACCACUGCCUGCAUGGGUGGUGGUGGAAAGCUUUUGCGGUGUGGGAUGGGCCCGCGGCCUAUCAGCUUGUUGGUGGGGUGAUGGCCUACCAAGGCGACGACGGGUAGCCGGCCUGAGAGGGUGACCGGCAACACUGGGACUGAGAUACGGCCCAGACUCCUACGGGAGGCAGCAGUGGGGAAUAUUACACAAUGGGCGCAAGCCUGAUGCAGCGACGCCGCGUGAGGGAUGACGGCCUUCGGGUUGUAAACCUCUUUCAGCACCGACGAAGCGCAAGUGACGGUAGGUGCAGAAGAAGGACCGGCCAACUACGUGCCAGCAGCCGCCGUAA
This 478-nucleotide ribosomal RNA is filed under the name uncultured bacterium. RNAcentral describes it as "partial 16S ribosomal RNA". It matches the Rfam family "Bacterial small subunit ribosomal RNA", at positions 28 to 523 of the family's 1533-position model. The record is from RNAcentral.